RNAcentral lists this ribosomal RNA (696 nucleotides) under uncultured bacterium. RNAcentral describes it as "bacterial SSU rRNA". It matches the Rfam family "Bacterial small subunit ribosomal RNA", at positions 32 to 715 of the family's 1533-position model. The record is from RNAcentral.
AACGCUAGCUACAGGCUUAACACAUGCAAGUCGAGGGGCAGCAUGAAAGGAACUUCGGUUCUUUUUGAUGGCGACCGGCGCACGGGUGCGUAACGCGUAUCGAACCUGCCUCAUACUCGGGGAUAGCCUUGCGAAAGUAAGAUUAAUACCCGGCGGUCUCGGACGGCCGCAUGACAGUCCGAGUGAAGAUUUAUCGGUAUGAGAUGGCGAUGCGUCCCAUUAGCUAGUUGGUGAGGUAACGGCUCACCAAGGCAUCGAUGGGUAGGGGUUCUGAGAGGAAGGUCCCCCACAUUGGAACUGAGACACGGUCCAAACUCCUACGGGAGGCAGCAGUGAGGAAUAUUGGUCAAUGGGCGAGAGCCUGAACCAGCCAAGUAGCGUGCAGGAAGACGGCCCUAUGGGUUGUAAACUGCUUUUAUAAGGGAAUAAAGUGGGUCACGUGUGACUUUUUGCAUGUACCUUAUGAAUAAGGACCGGCUAAUUCCGUGCCAGCAGCCGCGGUAAUACGGAAGGUCCGGGCGUUAUCCGGAUUUAUUGGGUUUAAAGGGAGCGUAGGCCGGAGAUUAAGCGUGUUGUGAAAUGUAGAGGCUCAACCUCUGCACUGCAGCGCGAACUGGUCUUCUUGAGUACGCACAACGUGGGCGGAAUUCGUGGUGUAGCGGUGAAAUGCUUAGAUAUCACGAAGAACUCCGAUUG